AUACGGAGGAUCCGAGCGUUAUCCGGAUUUAUUGGGUUUAAAGGGUGCGCAGGCGGCCAUUUAAGUCAGCGGUUAAACCGUGGGGCUCAACCCCAUUCUGCCGUUGAUACUGGGUGGCUUGAUUGCGGUCGAGGUUGGCGGAAUUCGUUGUGUAGCGGUGAAAUGCUUAGAUAUGACGAAGAACUCCGAUUGCGUAGGCAGCUGACCAGACCGCAAAUGACGCUCAUGCACGAAAGUGCGGGGAUCGAACAGGAUUAGAUACCCUGGUAGUCCGCACAGUAAACGAUGAAUACUUGUUUUCGGCGAUAUAAUGUCGGAGGCAAAGCGAAAGCGAUAAGUAUUCCACCUGGGGAGUACGCCGGCAACGGUGAAACUCAAAUGAAUUGACGGGG
RNAcentral lists this ribosomal RNA (392 nucleotides) under uncultured bacterium. Its description in RNAcentral is "partial 16S ribosomal RNA". It matches the Rfam family "Bacterial small subunit ribosomal RNA", at positions 523 to 918 of the family's 1533-position model. The record is from RNAcentral.